This 468-nucleotide ribosomal RNA is filed under the name uncultured bacterium. Its description in RNAcentral is "partial 16S ribosomal RNA". It matches the Rfam family "Bacterial small subunit ribosomal RNA", at positions 28 to 507 of the family's 1533-position model. The record is from RNAcentral.
GACGAACGCUGGCGGCGUGCUUAACACAUGCAAGUCGAACGGAAAGGCCCUGCUUUUGGGGGGUGCUCGAGUGGCGAACGGGUGUGAAACACGUGAGUACCCUGCUCCUGACUUUGGGAUAACUUCAGGAAACUGGGGAUAAUACCGGAUAGGAGCUCCUGCUGCAUGGUGGGGGUAGGAAAGUUUCGGCGGGUGGGGAUGGACUCGCGGCUUACCAGCUUGUUGGUGGGGUAGUGGCUUACCAAGGCUUUGGCGGCUAGCCGGCCUGAGUGGGUGACCGGCCACAUGGGGACUGGGAUACGGCCCAGACUCCUACGGGGGGCAGCAGGGGGGAAUAUGGCACAAUGGGCGGAGGCCUGUGGCAGCAACGCCGGGGGCGGGAUACCGGCCUUCGGUUGGAAAACCGCUUUCGCCGGGGACGAAGCGUGAGUGACGGUAAUGGGUAAAGAAGCACCGGCUAACUACGUG